UUGCAUGCGGGAAGAAGCAGUACCGUAAGGAGCUGUGGACUGCAUGGAAGAGAGAAUGCCGGAAUGAGUAGCGAGAAUAAGGUGAGAAUCCUUAUGGCCGAAUAUCCAAGGUUUCCAGAGUAAAGCUGAUCUGCUCUGGGUAAGUCGGGGCCUAAGGCGAGGACGAGAGUCGUAGCCGAUGGACAACAGGUGGAGAUUCCUGUACUGCGGUAUGACAGAACUGUGGGGACACGUAAGGAAAGCGGAAGCCGGGAAUGGAAAGCCCGGUGCAAGCGGGGUACCAGUCACUCUGGCAAAUCCGGGUGGCAAUGGGAAGCCGUGAUGCGGAGCGAAAUAAAGUAGCGAAGUCCGUGAGCCAUGCGUCAAGAAAAGCCGCUAUCGUUUAUACCGUACCCGUACCGUAAACCGACACAGGUGGAUGAGGAGAGAAUCCUAAGGCCGGCGGAAGAAGCAUUGUCAAGGAACUCGGCAAAAUGGCCCCGUAACUUAGGGAUAAGGGGUGCCUGGGAAACCAGGCCGCAGAGAAUAGGCUCAAGCAACUGUUUAGCAAAAACACAGGUCUAUGCGAAACCGAAAGGUGAGGUAUAUGGGCUGACGCCUGCCCGGUGCUGGAAGGUUAAGAGGAGAGGUUAGCGCAAGCGAAGCUUUGAAUUUAAGCCCCAGUAAACGGCGGCCGUAACAAUAACGGUCCUAAGGUAGCGAAAUUCCUUGUCGGGUAAGUUCCGACCCGCACGAAAGGCGUAAUGAUUUGAGCGCUGUCUCGACAAUGCAUCCGGUGAAAUUGAAGUACCAGUGAAGAUGCUGGUUACCUGCGCCAGGACGGAAAGACCCCAUGGAGCUUUACUCCAGUUUGGUACUGGGACUCGGUAUUGCAUGUACAGGAUAGGUGGGAGGCUAGGAGAUAGUAACGCCAGUUAUUAUGGAGCCGCUGUUGGGAUACCACCCUUGCAGUAUUGGGUUUCUAACCAGCCGCCGUGACCCGGCGGUGGGACAAUGCCAGACGGGGAGUUUGACUGGGGCGGUCGCCUCCGAAAGGGUAUCGGAGGCGCCCAAAGGUUCCCUCAGAAUGGACGGAAACCAUUCGAAGAGUGCAAAGGCAGAAGGGAGCUUGACUGCGACACCGACGGGUGGAGCAGGUACGAAAGUAGGGCUUAGUGAUCCGGUGGUAUUAAGUGGGAAUGCCAUCGCUCAACGGAUAAAAGCUACCCUGGGAUAACAGGCUUAUCACUCCCAAGAGUUCACAUCGACGGAGUGGUUUGGCACCUCGAUGUCGGCUCAUCGCAUCCUGGGGCUGUAGUAGGUCCCAAGGGUUGGGCUGUUCGCCCAUUAAAGCGGUACGCGAGCUGGGUUCAGAACGUCGUGAGACAGUUCGGUCCCUAUCCGGCGUGGGCGUAGGAUAUCUGAGAGGAGCUGUCCUUAGUACGAGAGGACCGGGGUGGACGGGCCGCUGGUGCAUCGGUUAGACUGCCAAGUCUACGGCCGAGUAGCCAAGCCCGGAAGGGAUAAACGCUGAAGGCAUCUAAGCGUGAAGCCCCCCUUAAGAUGAGAUAUCCCAUUCGAAAGAAGUAAACCCCCUUGAAGACGACGAGGUAGAUAGGGCAGAGGUGGAAGUGUGGCAACACAUGGAGCUGACUGUUACUAAUCGGGUGAGGGCUUGACCA
RNAcentral lists this ribosomal RNA (1661 nucleotides) under metagenome. Its description in RNAcentral is "bacterial LSU rRNA". It matches the Rfam family "Bacterial large subunit ribosomal RNA", at positions 1239 to 2925 of the family's 2925-position model. The record is from RNAcentral.